ACAAGCCAUUGCCAGAACUUGAGUCUCCAUCGACAGUUACAUCCGAGCUGAAAACUCAAGUUCAAAAACUAACGGAUGAAGCUUUGACACUUCCAGAACUUUGGUAAGUCAUCACGACCGCUGUCUCCUUCAUUCUGAGCACACAUACAGUUAAUCACCGAGGGGGCUGCUUGGGUGUAUAUUCUGCGUAAAAUUCUAGAGGAUGAGCAUUCCAAAUCCCUUUUGAUGGGCCCUCCCCUCAGCCUUAGCGUCACUCGCUACCCUACGAGCGAGGUGCUUAAUAAAACGAGGUAGUUCAGCGAAAAACUCGCGGUUUGAGGUCAAAAAUAUUUAUUUUCAAGUUUCGAUGCUAAAUUUACACUUUCUUGUCUCAAAAACUUCGAGUCGAAGUUUCAAACUGUAAUUUACAUUAUUAAUAAUGUUAUAAUCAUUUGAGGUGAAUCAUUCUAAUUUCAACAGUGAUUUUCUUGAAAUUGCCGUUUUAAUUUUCUCCUCAAACAAAAUUGUUCACGAAGUGUAAAUUUUAGGGGUGUUGGAAGUUCGUAGCACCUGAGGCUGCAAAAUUAAUUUUUUCACGCAGAGAUGUUGCAUCUCAUUUUUCUUUCUAAUCCUCAUGGCAUGUCUAGCCUAACUCUGUCACACAUUAUAAAAAUAUCAAUUAAGUGUAGCCAAGUAUCUUGCUUACAAUUUUCCUACAUUUACUGUUAGUUCUUUCCUCUAAUAUUCUAUACAAAAGUAUUUCUUAAUAAAAUAUUUUUCAAAUUACAGGAUGAAGAUUUCAUAUCAAAAAGUUCCGUGAACACGGUCAAUCUAGAUGGACAAACGUACGAGGACAUCUUGGCGAAAGCUAUCAUCAACAAAGUGGUUGAAAAAAGUCAAAGAGGACAAGGCAGCCCAACAGACAGUAAAAAUAACCUAGCUAUGACAGUAUCGCCUAACUUCAUUCGUAAAAGAAACAAGCUCCUAUCAAGUGACAGCUCUGACAUGAAUGGAACGAGUCAUUACAGUUGGAGCGAUUCUGCGCAGUCAGACCCUAUAUCUUUGAAGGUUGAAGAACACAUUGAAGAAGUGACUACGAGAUAUAGCUCUGAUGAUGAGGAAAAAUCAGACUUCGACAAUUUCUUAUCGAAUUUGAACUUCUUGAAAGGGCAGCGUGCGCCAUGCCCUGAAUUAGGUUGUGAUAUAGUGGAUGCGGGUGCUGCAUCCUCCUCGGAUGAUGACUGGUCGGAGAACGAUAGCACAGAUGGUUUGGACAUAGUUAAUCCAGUGGACUCAUGGGAAGAAAACUGGUUAUUCCAACGAAGAAGAUUAGCAAAAAAUAAUUCAUGUCAUCAGCCUGUGCCAGUCCCGAUGUUGGUGCCGAACCCAGCUCUCGAAUACAGGGCGCUGAUUGGGGAUGUCGAUGCAGAUGAGAUGUCAGACUUAUCUGAAUGCAGUGACUCUGUUUUGGAGCAACUGAUUGAUGAACCAAGGUACAGAAGUCCUAAUACCCAGAGUGCUCCUCCUGAGACUGAUGAGAUAGAGAAUGCAACUAGUAAUUUCAUCAGUAUAGAGCAAACUGUUAACAUCACAAUGAACUCUAAACCGACAGAAAGCUCUGAGACAACAAAAGGAAACGGUGAAAAACAACACGAAGCAUCAGAAGUGAUGACCAAAGAUAGUGUUUCGAACGAAAGCAGUAACACAAAGAAAGCCACAAAGUUGAAAAAUUCCGCUUACUCCUUGUCAAGAAGUUCACAUUCAAGUUCUGAGAGUGAUGAUGAAGACUCACCUUCAGGUGGAGAUAUAGUACAAGCGAAAAAUGAGAAUGUGUUAUUAUCACAACAUGAUUCCGAGGAUGAAUCCAUAGAUGCUGAGAUGCAGCAACGCGAUAGUGAAUACACGGUCGCAACUGUUGCACAGACACAUCCUGUACCUGAUUCCAAAUUCGGUGGAUUAAAGAAUGACGUACAGUCAUCCACAAAAAGUCGAGAUGAAGACUCUAGUGAUGAAGGUCCAACUCCUCGGCCAGGAACCAUUGCUGAGCGAGAACAUAAGAAGUGGGAAAAGGCAGUUCCGUUAGCUAAUAAUCCAUACUCUAAAGAAAAUAUUGACAAAAGACUUAAGAGUAAUUUCAUUCUCAGUAAUCGAGCGAACUGUGAUACACCCCUGGAAUUCAUCUCAGAACAAACCAUUCACGUAGGCAGCAAUUUACCUGACAUGAAAAGAUACAGCAGAGACUUUUACAUUAACACUGACGAAGAUCAAAAUGAGAGAACAUCAAAUCCGGAGUCAAAGAAUCCAAUUCCCGAAAGGAGAAUUUCUCAAGAGACAAAAACUUGUGAAGGCUCACAACAGGUUUCUGUGAGAGUGGAGGUGGAUGUGUGGCCUGCAGAAAAAAUAAUACAACACCAAUCUACGACAUCACCGGAUGAUUCGCCUCAAGUUUCCCCGAUCAUUCAAACGACUGUCAACAUGAACAAGAUGAAUGGAUGCCGGCAAGAAAAAGAGUUCGAGGUAGUCGAAAAACCAGGGGUGCGAAUCAGCUCUUGGGUCGAUAAUGAGAAGAAAACGGAUGAAUUGGACGAGUGCCACUCCUUGCCGUCGGUCAAGGAAUUAGCUAAACACUUCUCAACAGGGGAUAAAAAUGAGAAAAACCAUACGAUAGUGAAGCCGACGCCUGUUGUUCCAGCCAUUCCUAAAAUGUUUGAAAUGAAACACAACUACCCAUCAAAACAGCAAAGGAAAAAGCUGCCCUCAAAAACGACGUGAAUCUUCCUAACUUGGUAAGACUUUGCCAGAAAAAAAUUUAAAAAUGUAGUUGACACACAUUUUCCUAAAAGCUUUUAUUAGUAUUGCAUGGGUAGAGGUAUGAACAAUACCUUGUGUGAACAAUACCAAUACCUUCUUGUACUUUCAUUACAAAAAAUAUUAAAUAAAAAUCACUGUAAUCCACAAUAAUUAUCUUCCACUGAGUUGGUUAGUUAGCAGCCUCCUCUGAAGUAUCUUUUUCUUCACGCAUUCCCUUUAGAGACAGUAAAAAUAUUGGCACCUAUGAUGUGGAACCAUCUUAAAUUUCCAUUUGAUUGAAAAUAGUAAACUCCAUAAAUUCUUCGAGUUUUUAACUCAGUAAUAGCUAUCAAAAUUACUUG
This 3131-nucleotide long non-coding RNA is filed under the name Bemisia tabaci. Its description in RNAcentral is "lncRNA ENSASIAIIG002375". The record is from RNAcentral. Lineage: Eukaryota; Metazoa; Arthropoda; Insecta; Hemiptera; Aleyrodidae.